UGAACGCUGGCGGCGUGCCUAAUACAUGCAAGUCGAGCGAACGGACGAGAAGCUUGCUUCUCUGAUGUUAGCGGCGGACGGGUGAGUAACACGUGGAUAACCUACCUAUAAGACUGGGAUAACUUCGGGAAACCGGAGCUAAUACCGGAUAAUAUUUUGAACCGCAUGGUUCAAAAGUGAAAGACGGUCUUGCUGUCACUUAUAGAUGGAUCCGCGCUGCAUUAGCUAGUUGGUAAGGUAACGGCUUACCAAGGCAACGAUGCAUAGCCGACCUGAGAGGGUGAUCGGCCACACUGGAACUGAGACACGGUCCAGACUCCUACGGGAGGCAGCAGUAGGGAAUCUUCCGCAAUGGGCGAAAGCCUGACGGAGCAACGCCGCGUGAGUGAUGAAGGUCUUCGGAUCGUAAAACUCUGUUAUUAGGGAAGAACAUAUGUGUAAGUAACUGUGCACAUCUUGACGGUACCUAACCAGAAAGCCACGGCUAACUACGUG
RNAcentral lists this ribosomal RNA (495 nucleotides) under uncultured bacterium. RNAcentral's name for it is "partial 16S ribosomal RNA". It matches the Rfam family "Bacterial small subunit ribosomal RNA", at positions 30 to 507 of the family's 1533-position model. The record is from RNAcentral.